UGCACACAUGACUGUAGGUCGCUUUCUGCAUAAAAGCGUCUGCUAAAUGGCAUAUA
Non-coding RNA from Salmo salar (Atlantic salmon), 56 nucleotides. The record is from Rfam. NCBI's taxonomy places the organism in Eukaryota, Metazoa, Chordata, Actinopteri, Salmoniformes, Salmonidae.